Molecule: non-coding RNA, 359 nt
Organism: Dermacentor albipictus
Lineage: Eukaryota; Metazoa; Arthropoda; Arachnida; Ixodida; Ixodidae
Source: RefSeq, a predicted model, not a curated record
AACUGUCACGGCGAGGCAAUUUUGCGAGACAACGAGUCUCUCUCGGGUGUGCGUGUGAUCAAGUUUUUGUGAGGAACCUGCAUGAUCUUGCGCAUGAAGUAAUUAUUUUUGGACAGUUCCUUCUCUGGACGGUGUUACAAGUACAGGCAAGCGGCUAUCAACGGUUGUUAUUGCUGUACUUUGUGGUGUUGUGAUUCACCAGUGCGGAUCGAAGAGCACCGUUUUCUCCAGCCCUGAUUCUACAAUUUGGAGAUGGGGUACAAGGAGAAGUGCAAGUGUAUUCCACAUCUUGAGGGAGAUGCAAGAUAUGCUUCCGCAAUCCUUGCUGCAAGUGUUCAAAUAAAUGGUUGCAAGUUUCA